RNAcentral lists this small RNA (57 nucleotides) under Astyanax mexicanus (Mexican tetra). The record is from RNAcentral. Lineage: Eukaryota; Metazoa; Chordata; Actinopteri; Characiformes; Acestrorhamphidae.
UACACUGGUGGCUGGCACUACUGAUCCUUAGUACAAGGUUCAAGUCCUUGCAGUGUA